CAACAUCUUGAGCUAUAUUCUUUAUGACUAAAGCCAUGCUGAAUGUAAGGAUCUGAGGGCAGAGCUUACAGGAGGAGGAGUGCCUUUUGGACUGUGGGUCACUUCGACAUGGCGAUGCAGACCUACCUAGAGAGUCAGGCAUGGAUGGUUAGGAUUUAAGAUUUUGACAAGGAAAACUCAGUCAGAUUUAAACCUUUGCGAUCGCUUCAAAGGAAGAGAGCACUAAGGUAAGGUCAAGUUUUCUUGCCCAGUGGAGAGGACUAGUUGCACGAAUCUACAUUUAUUCUGUUGUCA
This 294-nucleotide long non-coding RNA is filed under the name Apteryx rowi (Okarito brown kiwi). RNAcentral's name for it is "lncRNA (ENSARWG00000004200.1)". Lineage: Eukaryota; Metazoa; Chordata; Aves; Apterygiformes; Apterygidae. The record is from RNAcentral.